Long non-coding RNA from Arachis duranensis, 1061 nucleotides. RefSeq lists it as uncharacterized. The transcript has 3 exons. The record is from RefSeq and is a predicted model, not a curated record. NCBI's taxonomy places the organism in Eukaryota, Viridiplantae, Streptophyta, Magnoliopsida, Fabales, Fabaceae.
CAACCAUCUCUCUGAAAUUUUGAAAUUGAAAGAACAAACUUAAAACUACUCUGUUAGGCACACAAGUGGACGCAACUAUCAACAAAACCCACACAUACGCAAAAAUAAAGAAUCCUAGCCACCCAGUCCCACCGCCCGCAGCCACCGCAGCCCCGUAGCCACCUCAGCCACCGCACCCCCCACACCCCCGCACCCCCGUUGCGUGUAUAGGCAUCGCGUGUGGAAGCUCCGUCGCGGUCGCAGGAGCUGUAUCGCUGUUGUUGGAAGCUCCGUCGCCGUCCUAGGAAGCUGUGUCGUCGUUGUAGGAAGCUCCCUCGCCGUCGUGCGGAAGCUGUGGCCAUCGCCAUCUCCUCUGUUCGAGGCUCUCUCUGUGUUCGCCGGUGCCGCCGUCUCCUCUGUCGUCGCCGUCACUCCCCUUCAUCCUUGCUGCCGUGAGGAUAGACGACUAAGAUGGCUUCUCAGCAAUUAUUGAGGAGGAAACUCCAAUCUCACUUUCAUAUUGAAUAAAAUUCCUAUUCUCAUAGGGAUAAAUCAAAUGCAAAAGAGAUCAUGGGAGAUCAAGUUCGGACAUAUACUUACAGGGAACGAAGCUUGGAGUAACCUCGGAUUCCACUUUCUGGAUGAUGCUCCUGGAGAACUCGCCUUCGCCUCUUUCCUCACUAAUGAUGUUAAUGAAUUUCACUUUAUACUUUCAUUUAAACUCUAGUUUGACAAACCCCAGUCUAAACAGGAGGUUGAAGGGUGAACAAUGGAGUCAAAGUCUACAGAUUGUAAUUGUUUGCGGUUUUCACGAACCUCACUGGUUAUUACUAAUUAGAACCUCACUGGUUAUUACUUAUUAGUGUGGCCAUCGGUCCAAUUGACUAAGAGAUUAGUUUCGAUUCGUUUACGAGGUCUCUAUUUUCCUUUUGAGAUUUUUGAGUCACCAUAUUAGUGUGGUCAUCGGUCCAAUUGACCAAGAUUAAGAGGUCUCUAUUUGAUGGUCUAAGUUUUGAGAUAGGUCAGGUGUUAUUGUAUAGCUUUAAGAGCUAUUUUUGGACUUAUUUGUUCUCCAUCGUGCU